RNAcentral lists this ribosomal RNA (478 nucleotides) under uncultured bacterium. RNAcentral describes it as "partial 16S ribosomal RNA". It matches the Rfam family "Bacterial small subunit ribosomal RNA", at positions 28 to 523 of the family's 1533-position model. The record is from RNAcentral.
GACGAACGCUGGCGGCGUGCUUAACACAUGCAAGUCGAGCGAUGAAGUUCCUUCGGGAAUGAAUUAGCGGCGGACGGGUGAGUAACACGUGGGUAACCUGCCUCAUAGAGGGGAAUAGCCUUCCGAAAGGAAGAUUAAUACCGCAUAAGAUUGUAGUACCGCAUGGUACAGCAAUUAAAGGAGCAAUCCGCUAUGAGAUGGACCCGCGUCGCAUUAGCUAGUUGGUGAGGUAACGGCUCACCAAGGCGACGAGGCGUAGCCGACCUGAGAGGGUGAUCGGCCACAUUGGGACUGAGACACGGCCCAGACUCCUACGGGAGGCAGCAGUGGGGAAUAUUGCACAAUGGGGGAAACCCUGAUGCAGCAACGCCGCGUGAGUGAUGACGGUCUUCGGAUUGUAAAACUCUGUCUUCAGGGACGAUAAUGACGGUACCUGAGGAGGAAGCCACGGCUAACUACGUGCCAGCCGCCGCCGUAA